Molecule: long non-coding RNA, 251 nt
Filed under: Capsicum annuum
Lineage: Eukaryota; Viridiplantae; Streptophyta; Magnoliopsida; Solanales; Solanaceae
Description: long non-coding RNA (CANN_LNC004980)
Source: RNAcentral
UUUCUCCGCUAUCUUAGCCUGAUUCCUUCUCCCACCAAUAAGAAUAGACUGGCCUAACUGAGAGACUAGUAUCUUGGCCCACAGAUAAAUAGAACAGAGGAAUUGAGAAUUGGACACUUCUACCUAAGGUGUCCAAAGAAAACUAGGGGGAACCAGUGGAAAUCCACAAGGGUAAUCAGAACCAAUGACCCUAGAUCAGCAUUAUACCCGAGGGGUAGGAUAAGUUCUGUCCACAUAAUCCUUAGACGAGA